AGCCAUAAAAAAAUUGAUAACAAGAUAUUAAAAAAGAUUUUACGCUAUUUUGAGAAAGAUGUGAAUUUUUCUCUCCAUAAUACUUGACUGAAGCUUUUUUGUUGUUUUUUUCAUCAUGUGGAAAGAUGAGCGUACGUGGUGUGGACUCUGUACAUUAUGCCUAAAUUCAUAUUCCAUUUUGUGAGAGGAAGUUGAUUCAAGCAACAAUAUGGAAUCUAUAUUUUGUUCAGGUGAGCUUACGUGGUGUGGACUCUGUACAUUUUACCUAAAUUCAUAUUCCAUUUUGCGAGAGGAAGUUGAUUCAAGUCACAAUGAGGAAUCUAUAUUUUGUUCAGGUGCUGUGUAAGCGGUAAAAUCGUUAUUCUAGUACUUCAAAAUGGAUAUAGUUGGCCAGGAUUUUUUAUUCAGUCCGUGAUCUAUUUUGUUGUAAAACAAUGUUUGAAGCUGAAAAUUGGCUUAUUUAUUUUAUUAAAGUAAUUUGAUUAAGUAGAAUCGCAAUAAAAGUAAUGAAAUUGUUAAAAUAUACGUAUCAGCAUUAAA
Tribolium madens (black flour beetle) is the source of this 540-nucleotide long non-coding RNA. RefSeq lists it as uncharacterized. The transcript has 3 exons. Lineage: Eukaryota; Metazoa; Arthropoda; Insecta; Coleoptera; Tenebrionidae. The record is from RefSeq and is a predicted model, not a curated record.